AGGAAGCACCGGCUAACUCCGUGCCAGCAGCCGCGGUAAUACCGAGGGUGCCAGCGUUGUCCGGAAUCACUGGGCGUAAAGGGCGCGUAUGCGGCACAGUAAGUAGGGGGUGAAAUCUCACGGCUCAACCGUGAAACGGCCUCCUAAACUGCUGCGCUUGAGCACGGUAGAGGCAGAUGGAAUUCCCGGUGUAGCGGUGGAAUGCGUAGAUAUCGCGGAAGAACACCAGUGGCGAAGGCGGUCUGCUGGGCCUUUGCUGACGCUGAGGCCCCACAGCGUGGGGAGCAAACAGGAUUAGAUACCCUGGUAGUCCACGCCCUAAACGAUGGGUACUAUGCGUCAGGGGGAGCGACCCUUUCGGUGCCGUCGCUAACGCAAUAGGUACCCCGCCUGGGGAGUACGGCCGCAAGGCCGAAACUCAAAGGAAUUGAUCGGGGCCCCGCCCAUCCGAGGCAGCAUGGUGGUUAGAUCGAGGCCACACGAAGAAACUUACCUGGGCCUUGCCGAUGCCCGAAGAAAACUUUGUGGAAACCACCCUCCCCUCUUUCUGAAGUUCAUGCCCAAGCUUCUGCCAUGGUUGGUCCUGCACCCCCUGGUUUCAGUUGGCCCGAGUUAAGCUCCCCCAACAAACCGGCACCCUCGGCCCCUUAAUCUGCCAUCGGAAAAUCGUCCGUGGACUCUCCCGGCAAAUGUUCGGCC
Molecule: ribosomal RNA, 699 nt
Filed under: uncultured bacterium
Lineage: Bacteria
Description: bacterial SSU rRNA
Rfam family: Bacterial small subunit ribosomal RNA
Source: RNAcentral